Molecule: ribosomal RNA, 497 nt
Filed under: uncultured bacterium
Lineage: Bacteria
Description: partial 16S ribosomal RNA
Rfam family: Bacterial small subunit ribosomal RNA
Source: RNAcentral
GAUGAACGCUGGCGGCGUGCCUAAUACAUGCAAGUCGAGCGAACGGACGAGAAGCUUGCUUCUCUGAUGUUAGCGGCGGACGGGUGAGUAACACGUGGAUAACCUACCUAUAAGACUGGGAUAACUUCGGGAAACCGUAGCUAAUACCGGAUAAUAUUUUGAACCGCAUGGUUCAAAAGUGAAAGACGGUCUUGCUGUCACUUAUAGAUGGAUCCGCGCUGCAUUAGCUAGUUGGUAAGGUAACGGCUUACCAAGGCAACGAUGCGUAGCCGACCUGAGAGGGUGAUCGGCCACACUGGUACUGAGACACGGUCCAGACUCCUACGGGAGGCAGCAGUAGGGAAUCUUCCGCAAUGGGCGAAAGCCUGACGGAGCAACGCCGCGUGAGUGAUGAAGGUCUUCGGAUCGUAAAACUCUGUUAUUAGGGAAGAACAUAUGUGUAAGUAACUGUGCACAUCUUGACGGUACCUAAUCAGAAAGCCACGGCUAACUACGUG